UCAUUUUAAACAAAAUAUACUAGAAUGUUCCAUUCCUGCUCUCUUCCUAUGAUUCAACCACUCUCUCAGGUUUAUUCUUCUCUUGCUCCAUUUGAAUUUUAUUACAUCUAUUUAUUUUAUGAAUGUCCAUCUCAUCUAAGACCAUAUGAAUGGAAAUUGCAUCUCAUUCUUACUUCUCUUCUAUUAAUUAGUUGCUCUGCCAUCUUCCUAUACGAACUUUUUGACUGAUUGAUUUCAAACUGGGUUGAAUUGCAAGGUAAAUUGGUCUGCUGCAUAUUAGAGUGGGAUAAACUUCUUCUACUCCAACACAGGCAAGGACCCAAUUCAUACUUCUCUCUACGUAAUUCUUUAUAUACUUUAAAAAUUGAUCCACAUUUAUCUAUUGCUACUUAAUGAGUUACUAUUUCUUAAAUGGAUUUGUUACGAAAUUAUCGAGUCACAGCAAUUUUCGAUUUUCCUGUAGCAGGUUGGGUCAUGUUUAAAUGGAUGUUUCUAAUCUUUUAAAUGGUUGGGUUGCAAAAGAAAUAUGAACAACAAUAUUUAAUAUGCCCUAAAAGUGUCGAUUGACUUUUGAGUUACAAUUGGCAAAAUAUAAUAAUUUUUUGUUAUAAAACAAAGUAAAGUGGCUUUCACAAACACUUUCUUUCAGUGACCUUCCGAGAAAUUGACUCGGGAUUUAAUGAUGGUUUUAAUAUUUUCUAAUUUGUUAUUAUAAUAGUUGAAGCGCUAUCCUUUUCGGGUCUUGCUGGAUCGGAGGAGUAAAACUUUCAUUCAAUAUGUUCUUUUGUUUUAUGAAUGCUGACCCAUUUCAUUUUUGAUGUGUUAUUUCUGAAUUUUAAAGUAGUAUCAUUCGCCCUUUUUAUUCUUCAUUUUUCUUCUUUCUCACAAAUUGUAUUUGAUAGAUGAAUGAGCUCAUAUUUUGAAAAGUUGGAAUCGGAUAGAAAAAGUCUAUAUUUGCCUAUAUGCAUCUUAAAAUUGUACGAAUUGAUGUUCAAAAUUUUUAUUCGUAGUUUUGUUUUCUACCCUCCAAAUUAAGCUGUCAUGUUCACUCUUAUUGUCUCUAUCAUGCAAGUUUGGCUAAGAUAUUUUCUAUAAUAAUUUGUGUUGCAUCUGUCUUGAAGGUUGACAUUGGUCUAGCUAUGGGCUUUCAAGGAACAGGGUCGCCAAAUAAAGCUUGAUGUCAUAAUACUGGAUGAUAAUUUUGUUGUUGUAAAGGUUUGUGUAUCGACGCGUUGUCAUCUUUUACUCGAAGUUUUCAGGCUCCUUUUCUUAUUAAAGGUAAAAUGUCUUGCAUUGUUUACUUGAGGAAAUUUAGCAUAUUUUUAAUAUAGUACUUUAAAGAUGUCUCUAAUGUUUUCAUAAAAUUUGUAUUGGCAUAUAUGAUAUUCCCAUAAGUCAACCAAUUAAGAAACUAAUUUUGAUUAGUAAUAAAACUGCCUAUGCUUACGCAUGAUUCAUGUGAAAAAAUGUGCAGCAAAACCUAAUGUGAUCUUGAUAUUUACUUAAAAACUGUUAGUUUUCCUUUACUUUCUGUUGAAAAUCAGCAUUUAGUUGAUUCUUCUUAACAGAAAGGAAACUUUCCUGCACUUUACUGAAAGAGAAAAAGCAUCAAGUUGAUGAUAAACACAUACUUCCAUUUAACAGUAAAUACAUACAUAGGGAGCUUUAAAUAUGUUAACUUAGAAAAAAAAAGGAAAUUUAAAUAUGUCAAACUGGAAAAAAUACUACUUUAUUCUUGUAUCCCUGUGAAAAAAUAUUCAAAGUUAUUAGAUCAGCUACACAUCAAUAUAGAAACAAAGUCAGAGAAGAUAAACGAAAAGGAAAGCAACAAGCAUGGCAAAUCAAAUUCUUGUUAGGAAAAUUCAAGAAGCUAAUGUGUCCAAUUAGAACUAUAAGUAAUCCUAAUAGACAAAAUUUGUCUGAUGUCUUACAAUAAAUUUUGCAGCUUCAACCAAUAGUGAUUGUUGAAUCGCAAGUUUAUGUGAGAAAGUGACAUAAAAGAAAAUGAAAUUGCAAGGAUAUAUUUGAAGACUCAUUCACUUUACUUUAUUUUGUGAUUUUAUAUAUAAAUUUUUUGGGUAUUAGAAUACCUGGAGCUUAGUAUGGAU
This 2108-nucleotide long non-coding RNA is filed under the name Nicotiana tabacum (common tobacco). RNAcentral describes it as "long non-coding RNA (NTAB_LNC002077)". The record is from RNAcentral. Lineage: Eukaryota; Viridiplantae; Streptophyta; Magnoliopsida; Solanales; Solanaceae.